This 265-nucleotide unclassified non-coding RNA is filed under the name root metagenome. RNAcentral's name for it is "partial contains small subunit ribosomal RNA, internal transcribed spacer 1, and 5.8S ribosomal RNA". The record is from RNAcentral.
UUUCCGUAGGUGAACCUGCGGAAGGAUCAUUACCGAAUUGUCAACAUGAAGUUGUUGCUGGCCCUCAGAUGGGGGCAUGUGCACGCUCUGUUUACACAUCCACUCACACCUGUGCACUCUCUGUAGUUCUAUGGUUUGGGGGUUCGACCUCCCUACUGUGGUUCUGCGUAUUUACACACACACACACCGUAGUAAAGUCUUAUGGAAUGUAUUUCGCGUUUAACGCAAUGCAAUACAACUUUCAGCAACGGAUCUCUUGGCUCUC